CCAAGAUAGCCAGCCAGACAGAGCACAAGAUAUGUACAACAUAUGCACACCUAAAAAGUAAAUUUUCAUGUGUUAUAUAAUAAAUUAGCUUGCGUGAGUCCCCCAUCCAGUACAUUGUCCCGUCCACCAGGCUCAGCCCAGCAAUAGGUCUGGCUUGGCCCGCUCAGGCAUCACACAUAUCAGGCUCCUUUCACCAUUGAGUUCAUUGUAUGCUGCACAUCAUGGUAUUACAUGUAUAUCCAUAAGAUGUUUAUUUCAAGGAUUAUAAGUGCUUGAAGAACAGCUAUUUGUGGCCCAGUCCCCCCCCCUGAGGGAGCCCUUGUGGUCAAAACACCCGCCCUUCAGGGGUUCAAGAUCAUGUGGGAUGUGCUCACUACUCCAGGUCCAUAACUCUUAGAGAAUGAACUCCAACACUUAAGCCCUGAACAUAGAUAUUUAGAUGAAUUGUAUGUUUUUAAUCAGUUUAUCAUAUUCCAACUUUGCCCCGAGAGUCAGUUUUUUACUUAAUUUUUAACCCGUCCGCUGCGAUUGGCACGGAUUUGGCUUUCACUAGUAGCCUGGUAACGUAUAGUCCCAGGUCUUUCUCUGCCUCUGUGGUGGAUAGUGGAGUGUUUCCCAUGUGGUAUUGGUGUGCUGGAUAUCCCUUCACUGGUAACCUGAUUACAUACACUCCCAGGUCUUUCUCUGCCUCUGUGGUGGAUAGUGGAGUGUUUCCCAUGUGGUAUUGGUGUGCUGGAUAUCCCUUCACUGGUAGCCUGGUUACAUACAAUCCCAGGUCUUUCUCUGCCUCUGUGGUGGAUAGUGGAGUGUUUCCCAUGUGGUAUUGGUGUGCUGGACAUCCCCUCCCAAGGUGCAGGACUUUCCAUUUUUCUUCAUUGAAUUGUAGCAGCCACCUUUUGUGCCUUUCCUAUAACAUGGUGAGGUCUUCUUAUAGGAAAUCCACAGUCAAGGGGCUAUGCAGAAUUUUCCAGGCUUUUUUUUCCCCGAUGCAAAUAGUUAUAACCUGUAUGGGGUGAUGAAUGUACCCUCUUUACCCCCCUCCCACAGGCACUCCCAGAGGAACAGUGGAAGAAAUACCAGCUGAUGACCGGAGAAAGCAGGGAGAGGCUGGAUUGCCGAGGGGUGACGCUGCGCUGCCUUGACGAGGCUGCUCAGGAGAAAAAGCACCAGGCCGAGGAGAUGAAGAGGGACAUUGUCGACUUGGUGGACAUUAUAGGGACCAUUAAGAAACAUGAUCCACCACCGCCUGGUUAAUAUGUGCCGCCGACGAUCUGUUAAGCAGGAUGCAGCGUGCUCUGAGGCGACCCCGGGCAGGAGGCAACAUGUGACCUCGUGCGCCAAACCUUUGACCUCUAUUCAGAAGCAGGCUAUGGCUGACUGGCUGGUGCUGUCUGGUCACUCAGCUCAGCAAGGGACUGGAAGCUGGAACUCUCUCUCUCUCUCUCUCUCUCUCUCUCUCUCUCUCUCUCUCUCUCUCUCUC
Eriocheir sinensis (Chinese mitten crab) is the source of this 1481-nucleotide long non-coding RNA. RefSeq lists it as uncharacterized. NCBI's taxonomy places the organism in Eukaryota, Metazoa, Arthropoda, Malacostraca, Decapoda, Varunidae. The transcript has 3 exons. The record is from RefSeq and is a predicted model, not a curated record.